Molecule: ribosomal RNA, 253 nt
Filed under: uncultured bacterium
Lineage: Bacteria
Description: partial 16S ribosomal RNA
Rfam family: Bacterial small subunit ribosomal RNA
Source: RNAcentral
UACGUAGGGGGCGAGCGUUAAUCGGAAUUACUGGGCGUAAAGCGUGCGUAGGCGGUUCGUUAAGUUCGUUGUGAAAGCCCCGGGCUCAACCUGGGAAUGGCAAUGGAAACUGGCGGGCUGGAGUAUGGCAGAGGGGGGUGGAAUUCCGCGUGUAGCAGUGAAAUUCGUAGAUAUUGGGAAGAACACCGGUGGCGAAGGCGGCUCUCUGGACCGAUACUGACGCUGAGGCGCGACAGCGUGGGGAGCAAACAGG